UGCUCAGCUUCUUCUUGAGGC
RNAcentral lists this unclassified non-coding RNA (21 nucleotides) under Chlamydomonas reinhardtii. RNAcentral's name for it is "small RNA Cre_3161". The record is from RNAcentral. Lineage: Eukaryota; Viridiplantae; Chlorophyta; Chlorophyceae; Chlamydomonadales; Chlamydomonadaceae.